GCUAGGGGGCAUACCCGCCUACCAACCCCUAUCAAACUCCGAAUACCGUCCGGUGGAGCGUGGCAGUGAGACAGUGGGGGAUAAGCUUCAUUGUCGAAAGGGAAACAGCCCAGAUCAGCAGCUAAGGUGCCUAAAGUACGCUAAGUGGAAAGGAGGUGGAGUCUCAUAGACAGUGAGGAUGUUGGCUUAGAAGCAGCCACCAUUUAAAAAAAGCGUAACAGCUUACUCAUCGAGAGACUCUGCGCCGAAAAUAAUUGGCGAUAAGCGUGCUACCGAAGCUCUGGAUGUCAUCCUUAUGGAUGGCGUGGUAGGAGAGCGUUCCCAGUGCGGCGAAGGGUGAUGGUGACUGACCCUGGAGCGCUGGGAAGUGAGUAUGCAGACAUGAGUAACGAUAAGACCGGUGAAAUCCCGGUCCGCCGUAAACCCAAGGUUUCCCGGGCAACGUUUUUCGUCCCGGGGUUAGUCGGGACCUAAGCCGAGGCCGAUAGGCGUAGGCGAUGGUAAGCAGGUCAAUAUUCCUGCACCUCCGACCCUUAAACUGGGGGGACGCGGUUUGAAAAGUGGCUAGGUUAUUGAAUUCCGAGAUGAUCCUACGGGUGAUUCGUACCACCAGACAAACCGCCAAGAAAAGCCCCAGCAUAUGCUAAGGAGCCCGUACCGUAAACCGACACAGGUGGGUGGGUAGAGUAUACCAAGGCGCAAGAGUGAAACCUGGUUAAGGAACUCGGCAAAAUGGCUCCGUAACUUCGGGAUAAGGAGUGCCCCUUUUGGGGGCCGCAGUGAAUUGGCCCAUCCGACUGUUUAGCAAAAACACAGCAUUGUGCUAAGGCGUAAGCCGACGUAUACGAUGUGACACGUGACCAAUGCCAAAAGAUUACGGUAAGGUGUUAGCCCUCGUGGCGAAGCUCCGAGCCCAAGUCCUGGUGAAUGUCGGCCGUAACUAUAACGGUCCUAAGGUAGCGAAAUUCCUUGUCGGGUAAGUUCCGACCUGCACGAAUCGUGCAACGAGAUGGGCGCUGUCUCAACCAGGAGCUCAGUGAAAUUGUAACACCGGUGAAGAUGCCGGUUACCUGCAGAAGGACGGAAAGACCCUAUAGACCUUAACUGUAAGCUGUUACUGUUUAUUUGAUUUCAAUGCUCAGCAUAAGUGGGAGGCUUUGAAACGGCGUUUUAGGGCGUCGUGGAGCCGCCAGUGAGAUACCACCCUUUGGUAUUGGAUGAUCUAACCCCGAGCCGUUAUCCGGCCGGGGGACCCUGGCAGCCGGUCAGUUUUACUGGGGCGG
RNAcentral lists this ribosomal RNA (1283 nucleotides) under marine metagenome. RNAcentral's name for it is "bacterial LSU rRNA". It matches the Rfam family "Bacterial large subunit ribosomal RNA", at positions 918 to 2282 of the family's 2925-position model. The record is from RNAcentral.